GAAAUGCGAUAAGUAAUGUGAAUUGCAGAAUUCAGUGAAUCAUCCAAUCUUUGAACGCACAUUGCGCCCGCCAGUAUUCUGGCGGGCAUGCCUGUUCGAGCGUCAUUUCAACCAUCAAGCCCCCGGCUUGUGUUGGGGACCUGCGGCUGCCCGCAGGCCCUGAAAAACAGUGGCGGGCUCGCUGUCACACCGAGCGUAGUAGCAUACAUUCUCGCUCAGGGCGUGCUGCGGGUUCCGGCCGUUAAACGACCUUCAUAACCCAAGGUUGACCUCGGAUCAGGUAGGAAGACCCGCUGAACUUAAGC
Molecule: unclassified non-coding RNA, 305 nt
Filed under: plant metagenome
Description: partial contains 5.8S ribosomal RNA, internal transcribed spacer 2, and large subunit ribosomal RNA
Rfam family: 5.8S ribosomal RNA (bases 1-105)
Source: RNAcentral